CGGACGGGUGAGUAAUGUCUGGGAAACUGCCCGAUGGAGGGGGAUAACUACUGGAAACGGUAGCUAAUACCGCAUAACGUCGCAAGACCAAAGAGGGGGACCUUCGGGCCUCUUGCCAUCGGAUGUGCCCAGAUGGGAUUAGUUAGUAGGUGGGGUAAUGGCUCACCUAGGCGACGAUCCCUAGCUGGUCUGAGAGGAUGACCAGCCACACUGGAACUGAGACACGGUCCAG
This 232-nucleotide ribosomal RNA is filed under the name uncultured bacterium. RNAcentral describes it as "partial 16S ribosomal RNA". It matches the Rfam family "Bacterial small subunit ribosomal RNA", at positions 99 to 334 of the family's 1533-position model. The record is from RNAcentral.